UGGGUUGUGGUUCAGCGAUAGAGCGCUUGCCUGGCAUGUGUGAGACACUGGGUUCAAUUCUCAGCACCACAU
This 72-nucleotide transfer RNA is filed under the name Ictidomys tridecemlineatus (thirteen-lined ground squirrel). RNAcentral describes it as "Spermophilus tridecemlineatus (thirteen-lined ground squirrel) tRNA". It matches the Rfam family "tRNA". Rfam says of the family: Transfer RNA (tRNA) molecules are approximately 80 nucleotides in length. Their secondary structure includes four short double-helical elements and three loops (D, anti-codon, and T loops). Lineage: Eukaryota; Metazoa; Chordata; Mammalia; Rodentia; Sciuridae. The record is from Rfam by way of RNAcentral.